GCAUGUGAGGGCGAUCUGCCUGUGACAUCUGUCACCCCAUUGAUUGCCAGGGCCUUGAUUUGGCUGAUCUGGCUGGCUAGGCGGGUGUCCCCUUCCUCUCUCACCGCUCCAUGUGCGUCCCUCCUGAAGCCGUGUGCUUGCUUGAAGAGGACGACCAUCCCUGAUAGAGGAGGACUGGUCUUCGGUCAAGGGUAUACGAGUAGCUGUGCUCCCCUGCUGGAACCUCCAAACAAACUCAAGAAAAUGAGAUGAUAAGCCACAGGAUGGGAGAAAAUAUUUGGGCAAAAAAAAACCCCACAAAAAAACACAUAUGGUAAAGGACUGUUAACCAAAAUAU
RNAcentral lists this small nuclear RNA (337 nucleotides) under Cebus imitator (Panamanian white-faced capuchin). RNAcentral describes it as "7SK RNA (ENSCCAG00000009718.1)". It matches the Rfam family "7SK RNA". Rfam says of the family: 7SK was discovered as an abundant small nuclear RNA in the mid-70s but a possible function has only recently been suggested. Two independent studies have found that 7SK RNA binds the CDK9/cyclin T complex (known as elongation factor P-TEFb). Lineage: Eukaryota; Metazoa; Chordata; Mammalia; Primates; Cebidae. The record is from Rfam by way of RNAcentral.